Molecule: unclassified non-coding RNA, 242 nt
Filed under: uncultured fungus
Lineage: Eukaryota; Fungi
Description: sequence contains ITS1, 5.8S rRNA gene
Rfam family: 5.8S ribosomal RNA (bases 194-242)
Source: RNAcentral
UUUCCGUAGGUGAUCCUGCGGAGGGAUCAUUACAGAGCAUCAUGCCCUUCGGGGUAGAUCUCCCACCCUAUGUAUUACAUACCUUUUGUUGCUUUGGCAGGCCGCUUCGGCCACCGGCUCCGGCUGGUGCGUGCCCGCCAGAGGACCCCAAACUCUGAAUGUUAGUGUCGUCUGAGUACUAUCUAAUAGUUAAAACUUUCAACAACGGAUCUCUUGGUUCUUGCAUCGAUGAAGAACGCAGC